GACGAACGCUGGCGGCGUGCUUAAUACAUGCAAGUCGAACGGACAGGCCCUGCUUUUGUUGGGUGCUCGUGUGGCGAACGGGUGAGUAACACGUGAGUAACCUGCCCUUGACUUUGUGAUAACUUCAGGAAACUGGGGCUAAUACCCGAUAUGAUCUCCUGCUGCAUGGUGUGGGUUGGAAAGUUUCGGCGGUUGGGGAUGGACUCGCGGCUUAUCAGCUUGUUGGUGGGGUAGUUACUUACCAAGGGUUUGACGGAUAGCCGGCCUGAGAGGGUGACCGGGGACAAGGGGACUGAGAGACGGAGCAGAAGGCUACGGGAGGCAGCAGGGGGGAGUAUUGCAGAACGGGCGGAAGUCUGAGGCAAAAGCGCCGGGUGCGGGAUAACGGGCUUCGAGGUGUAAACCGAUGUGGAAGGAGACGAAGAGAGAGUGACGGUAAUGGGUAAGGAAGCAACGGCUAACUACGUG
This 468-nucleotide ribosomal RNA is filed under the name uncultured bacterium. RNAcentral's name for it is "partial 16S ribosomal RNA". It matches the Rfam family "Bacterial small subunit ribosomal RNA", at positions 28 to 507 of the family's 1533-position model. The record is from RNAcentral.